GGAAACAGAAAGCAAGAUCCUGUAUUAACAUCUCGGAAACGGACAGCAAGAUCCCGCAUUAACAUCUCGGAAACGGACAGCAAGAUCCUGCAUUAACAUCUCAGAAAGGUACAGCAAGACCCCGCAUUAACAUCUCGGAAACGGACAGCAAGACGCCGCAUUAACAUCUCGGAAACGGACAGCAAGACCCCGUAUUAACAUCUCGGAAACGGAAAGCAAGAUCCCGCAUUAACACCGUGGAAACGGACAGCAAGAUCCCGCAUUAACAUCUCGGAAACGGAAAGCAAGAUCUUGCAUUAACAUCUCGGAAACGGACAGCAAGAUCCCGCAUUAACAUCUCGGAAAUGGACAGCAAGAUCCCGUAUUAACAUCUUGGAAAUGGACAGCAAGAUCCUGUAUUAACGUCUUGGAAAUGGAAACAGAAAGCAAGAUCCCAUAUUAACAUCUCGGAAAUGGACAGCAAGAGCCUGUAUUAACAUCUCAGAAACAGAAAGCGAGAUACCGCAUUAACAGCUCGGAAAUGGACAGCAAGAUUGCGUAUUAACAUCUCGGAAAUGGACAGCAAGAUCC
RNAcentral lists this long non-coding RNA (570 nucleotides) under Homo sapiens (human). Its description in RNAcentral is "HSALNT0255204". The record is from RNAcentral. Lineage: Eukaryota; Metazoa; Chordata; Mammalia; Primates; Hominidae.